Cornus florida is the source of this 1060-nucleotide long non-coding RNA. RefSeq lists it as uncharacterized. NCBI's taxonomy places the organism in Eukaryota, Viridiplantae, Streptophyta, Magnoliopsida, Cornales, Cornaceae. The record is from RefSeq and is a predicted model, not a curated record. The transcript has 4 exons.
GAGCUAUCUGCGCGGAAGCUAGGUUUUUGUUCAUUCGUGAAGAACGAGUCGACCUUCACUUCGCGGUAAGGGUUAGCAUCGGGCCUUAACAUUUAGCAAGAACCAAGGUUCAACAAACAUGCCUUCUCAGUCAUCAGGUUUCUUUUAUGAAAGAAGAGAGUUGAUGGGAAUGGGUGGAGUGGGCAAAAAACAAAUAGGUCUAUUGGGCCAAAAUUUGAGGAGACGGAGGCGACGGAGCAGAUAAGAGCAGAAUACAAGAAAAUCUAUGAAGCAGUCCAGGCAAGGGUAUUGCAUUGCUGGACGAUGUAAUCCUUCAAUAUCAGAGCUCGGCGUUGUCUCAUCGACUAAAUUCUACGGUUUACUUGUCAAAGAUGGACGAUAACAACCUCAUCAAGAAAAUUUGCUUUGACAAGGCCGUCGGCGAAGCAAGCCAUUUUUUUUAUCCCCCAUCUCUUUUCUCUUCCUUCUUUUAUAUAGCGGACUACUUUUUGUAUCCAAUAAUUUUGAUGAAACAAUAUUUAUUUGUACGGAAGCAUUAAUUCUGCACUACACGUUUCCUGGUGAGGGAUUCUACAACGUAUGUAUCACUGAAGAGGAUCAAUUCCACUAAAAAAGAGUUUAUUAAACUGGUAGAAAGCUCAAAGGUGGCUAAGCUUGAAGGAGGCUUGGAAAGUAAAUGGUGAGGGCUAUGAGGAGGAUGAGAAGGGAUUAAUUUCAAAUUUUAAUAGCAGAGAUUGCAAUCAGGGGCGUGACAACACUGAACAGAAGGAAGAGGGUCCGAAGAAAUUUACAUGGCAGUUGAAGAACUGCGUGUGAACAGGGAUAAUGUGGUUCUGUUUCAAAUUUGAUUUCAUUUGUCACAAAUUAAAGUAUUUGAACACACUUUGAGAGGUUAUUUGAAGCACUGCGAAGCAUAUAACAACAUAGGGAUUAACUUAUUUUAGUUACAAUGAGAUUAUUUAAUUUUUUGGGUCAUUAUUAUUAUUUUUUUUCUUUCUUUUGACGUUUUAAUUUUAUUAUUGUUUUGACAUUGUUAUUCAUCGACUUGUUUUUUGCUCUA